CAGAGGGUGCGAGCGUUAAUCGGAAUUACUGGGCGUAAAGCGCGCGUAGGCGGCUUUGCAAGUCGGGUGUGAAAUCCCCAGGCUUAACCUGGGAACUGCAUUCGAGACUGCAUAGCUAGAGUAUGGGAGAGGGAAGUGGAAUUUCAGGUGUAGCGGUGAAAUGCGUAGAUAUCUGAAGGAACAUCAGUGGCGAAAGCGACUUCCUGGACCAAUACUGACGCUCAUGUGCGAAAGCGUGGGGAGCAAACAGGAUUAGAUACCCUGGUAGUCCACGCCAUAAACGAUGAGAACUGGAUGUCGGGAGGGUCUGCCUCUCGGUGUCGUAGCUAACGCGUUAAGUUCUCCGCCUGGGGAGUACGGCCGCAAGGUUG
Molecule: ribosomal RNA, 371 nt
Filed under: uncultured organism
Description: bacterial SSU rRNA
Rfam family: Bacterial small subunit ribosomal RNA
Source: RNAcentral